This 1377-nucleotide ribosomal RNA is filed under the name Brachionus calyciflorus. RNAcentral describes it as "16S ribosomal RNA". Lineage: Eukaryota; Metazoa; Rotifera; Eurotatoria; Ploima; Brachionidae. The record is from RNAcentral.
GCUGUCUACCUACAGCAAUAAAUUAGUAAAGUCAAAACUAAAACUAGCACAUUUUUGAUAGAAGCAUUUCAUUUCUAGAAAUAAUGGAAUGACACCUACUUUUCAUAGAUCCAGUAUUAAUUUUUAAAUAUAGAAUAUAUUUUUUUCUUUUAUUUUAUUAAUAUUGGUAUUUUACAAUUUAAAUCUAUUUAUAGUAUGUGUGGAGUAAUCCCUACAUUGACCGGUGUAAAGGCUACAAAGAGUCCCAAAAGGAUCAUCUAACUCUUUUCAUAAGAGGUAGAAAAAAGUCUUUUUAGGGCCCCUUUUUGCCAUUUCUAGGGGGUACGGAGGUCCGUUGGAAUCGAUUCGUUAAUUUUAUUUUCUUUUUAUUUAUUUUUCCUUUCUUGAUGAGUUUUCUUUUUAUUUGUAAAAGGAAACAGAUUGUUUUAUAUUGGUCCAUAGCCAAUAAGACAAAUUAAUCCCAUUAGUACAUAACUUAUAAGAAAAGAAAGAAUUAUUAGAAUAAAAAGAUAAUAGUUAUAGGCUAUUUUUGUAUCCACAGUUAUCCUAGUGAAGGUAAAUAAUAAGGAGAAAUUAAAUAAUCUAUCGGAACGAAAGACCCUAGCUUAAAAGCUACUUAAAGUCCUCUUCCAAUCUUCCUGGUCCUAUGAAGUUUGCUAAAGCUGUGCUGACCCAUCUUUGUAGUAAAUACCCUCAACUCAUAAAUAAAUAUAGGUUUGAUUCGGAAGUUAAGAGGGGAAAUAAAAAGGAAUAAGGUGCGCAGAGUAACAGCGGUCCAGCGACGGCCAGCAUUCUGAGCCAUUAGCCAUGCAGGAGCCUAAUGCUCUGAGCGGAACCUUGCCCUUGACCCUGAAUAACUGACUUUGAUAAUAAUAAGCAUACUCGUAAGAAUAAAAACAGUAUACCUCCAUCAUAAUAGUGCAAUACCUACAGCCAUGAGCCCUUUGUGUAGUACCGAUAGCCAAAGAACUAGUGGAAUUCAGACCUAGUGUUCAGUCCGAGCUAAGACGUAAGGGAGUAAUCCUCACGUUACCCUAGUUUAGCGUCGGGUAUAGGCUGCCGUAAGCUAGGUUUGGAGACAUGACGGAAAGUGGCCUACUCGGAGUAGUAUAGUGAUAUACAGAUAACAGACUUCGUCCAUAAAGUAACUUAAAACGAAUAAGAGAGCACAGCGUGGUAGAGCAGUGGUUGACAGAAAGCGAACAGAAGGCAAUCCUAUUAAAGUGCGCCUACCCUGUUNACUCUGGAGACUAGCGAGUACUCUGGNGAGUGUGUGUNCGUAGNGAGCCUCNUACCUCCACAAGGUAAGUAGAAUACCUCAGCGCCACUCCGAAACACGGAGCAUAAUCGAGUCUUCCCAAAAGAGCUGAGGGUUUG